This 460-nucleotide ribosomal RNA is filed under the name uncultured bacterium. Its description in RNAcentral is "partial 16S ribosomal RNA". It matches the Rfam family "Bacterial small subunit ribosomal RNA", at positions 338 to 795 of the family's 1533-position model. The record is from RNAcentral.
CCUACGGGUGGCAGCAGUGAGGAAUAUUGGUCAAUGGACGCAAGUCUGAACCAGCCAUGCCGCGUGCAGGAAGACGGCUCUAUGAGUUGUAAACUGCUUUUGUACGAGGGUAAACGCAGAUACGCGUAUCUGUCUGAAAGUAUCGUACCAAUAAGGAUAGGCUAACUCCGGGCCAGCAGCCGCGGUAAUACGGAGGAUUCAAGCGUUAUCCGGAUUUAGUUGGUUUAAAGGGUGCGUAGGCGGUCGGAUAAGUUAGAGGUGAAAUCCCGAGGCUCAAUUGCGGAAUUGCCUGUGAUACUGUUCGGCGAGAGAGCAGAAGAGGUAGGCGGAAUGUAUGGUGUAGCGGUGAAAUGCUUAGAGAUAAUACAGAACACCGAUUGCGAAGGCAGCUUACCAAGCUACUUCUGACGUUGAGGCACGAAAGCGUGGGGAGCAAACAGGAUUAGAUACCCGAGUAGUC